This 787-nucleotide non-coding RNA is filed under the name Macropanesthia kraussiana. Its description in RNAcentral is "12S ribosomal RNA". The stretch from base 373 to 780 matches the Rfam family "Microsporidia small subunit ribosomal RNA", at positions 752 to 1303 of the family's 1311-position model. The record is from RNAcentral. Lineage: Eukaryota; Metazoa; Arthropoda; Insecta; Blattodea; Blaberidae.
GUUUUAUUCUUGCUUGUUUACUUAUUUUAAUCUAAUGUUAUAUGUAAGGUUUUAUAUUUAAAAAUUAAUUUCUUAAUGAUUUAAUUUUAAUAGUUAUUGCAGUAAUAAAUAUUAAACAAUGAAGGAGAUUUUGAUUUAGUUAUUUUUUGUAAUGUUGAUUAAAUAUGUGCCAGCAGUCGCGGUUAUACAGAGGACAUAAAUAAGUAUAUUUAGUUAAAAUAGUUAAUUUAUUUAUAUAUUUUAAUUUAAUAAUUUUUGGGUAAAAUCUAAAUUUUUAUUUAAAUUUAAGGAUAAGUUUGAUGAGGCUGUGAAAUCCAGAUAUUUAAACUAGGAUUAGAUACCCUAUUAUUUUGGAUUUAAAAUUUAAAGCUUGAGUAGUAUUAGGUAUGGUCUUGAAACUUAAAGAAUUUGGCGGCAUUUUAGUCUAGUUAGAGGAAUCUGUCCCAUUAUCGAUAAUCCACGUUGAACCUUACUUAAUAUAAUUUAAUAUGUAUACCGCCGUUUGUUAUGAAGAUCUUUUUAGAGAUAAUUUUCUUAAAAUUCUAAUUAAUUUUAUUUCAGGUCAAGGUGCAGUUUAUAAUUAAGUGGUGAUGGAUUACAUUAUUUAUAAAAUAAAUGGAUUAAAGUUUGAAAUUAUUUUAUGAAGGUGGAUUUAAUAGUAAUUAAUAAUAAGAAUUAUUUUUAUGAUUUUGGCUCUAAAAUGUGUACACAUCGCCCGUCACUCUCGUUAUUAAGAUGAGAUAAGUCGUAACAAAGUAGGUGUACCGGAAGGUGUAGCUAGAUUAAU